This 438-nucleotide ribosomal RNA is filed under the name uncultured bacterium. Its description in RNAcentral is "bacterial SSU rRNA". It matches the Rfam family "Bacterial small subunit ribosomal RNA", at positions 30 to 467 of the family's 1533-position model. The record is from RNAcentral.
AUUGAACGCUGGCGGCAUGCCUUACACAUGCAAGUCGAACGGCAGCACGGGGGCAACCCUGGUGGCGAGUGGCGAACGGGUGAGUAAUAUAUCGGAACGUACCCUGGAGUGGGGGAUAACGUAGCGAAAGUUACGCUAAUACCGCAUACGAUCUAAGGAUGAAAGUGGGGGAUCGCAAGACCUCAUGCUCCCGGAGCGGCCGAUAUCUGAUUAGCUAGUUGGUGGGGUAAAGCCUACCAAGGCAUCGAUCAGUAGCUGGUCUGAGAGGACGACCAGCCACACUGGGACUGAGACACGGCCCAGACUCCUACGGGAGGCAGCAGUGGGGAAUUUUGGACAAAUGGGGGGCAACCCUGAUCCAGCAAUGCCGCGUGAGUGAAGAAGGCCUCGGUUGUAAGACUCUUUUGUUCUAGGGAAGAAACGGUUAGGGGCGUAAGU